This is an unclassified non-coding RNA of Pongo abelii (Sumatran orangutan), 117 nucleotides long. It matches the Rfam family "Metazoan signal recognition particle RNA". Rfam says of the family: The signal recognition particle (SRP) is a universally conserved ribonucleoprotein. NCBI's taxonomy places the organism in Eukaryota, Metazoa, Chordata, Mammalia, Primates, Hominidae. The record is from Ensembl.
GCUGGGCGUGGUGGCUCACGCCUGUAAUCCCAGCGCUGUGGGAGGCUGAGGUGGGUGGAUUGCUUGAGCCCAGGAGUUCAAGACCAGCCUGGGCAACAUGGCAAAACCCCAUCUCUA